UACGAAGGGGGCUAGCGUUGCUCGGAAUCACUGGGCGUAAAGCGCACGUAGGCGGAUUGUUAAGUCAGGGGUGAAAUCCUGGAGCUCAACUCCAGAACUGCCUUUGAUACUGGCGAUCUUGAGUCCGGGAGAGGUGAGUGGAACUCCGAGUGUAGAGGUGAAAUUCGUAGAUAUUCGGAAGAACACCAGUGGCGAAGGCGGCGCACUGGCCCGGUACUGACGCUGAGGUGCGAAAGCGUGGGGAGCAAACAGG
RNAcentral lists this ribosomal RNA (253 nucleotides) under uncultured bacterium. RNAcentral describes it as "partial 16S ribosomal RNA". It matches the Rfam family "Bacterial small subunit ribosomal RNA", at positions 524 to 776 of the family's 1533-position model. The record is from RNAcentral.